RNAcentral lists this ribosomal RNA (465 nucleotides) under uncultured bacterium. RNAcentral's name for it is "partial 16S ribosomal RNA". It matches the Rfam family "Bacterial small subunit ribosomal RNA", at positions 28 to 507 of the family's 1533-position model. The record is from RNAcentral.
GACGAACGCUGGCGGCGUGCUUAACACAUGCAAGUCGAACGGAAAGGCCCCCUUGUGGGGUACUCGAGUGGCGAACGGGUGAGUAACACGUGAGUAACCUACCCUUUACUUUGGGAUAACUUCAGGAAACUGGGGCUAAUACCGGAUAGGAGCUCCUGCUGCAUGGUGGGGGUUGGAAAGUUUCGGCGGUUGGGGAUGGACUCGCGGCUUAUCAGCUUGUUGGUGGGGUAGUGGCUCACCAAGGCUUUGACGGGUAGCCGGCCUGAGAGGGUGACCGGCCACAUUGGGGCUGAGAUACGGCCCAGACUCCUACGGGAGGCAGCAGUGGGGAAUAUUGCACAAUGGGCGGAAGCCUGAUGCAGCAACGCCGCGUGCGGGAUGACGGCCUUCGGGUUGUAAACCGCUUUCGCCUGUGACGAAGCGUGAGUGACGGUAAUGGGUAAAGAAGCACCGGCUAACUACGUG